This is a long non-coding RNA of Salvia splendens (bonfire salvia), 977 nucleotides long. RefSeq lists it as uncharacterized. NCBI's taxonomy places the organism in Eukaryota, Viridiplantae, Streptophyta, Magnoliopsida, Lamiales, Lamiaceae. The record is from RefSeq and is a predicted model, not a curated record. The transcript is spliced from 2 exons.
AAUUGGUUUCUUUCCGAUUUGAAUUUAAAUAAAAUUAGAGUAUAUAGUUGGAUUAUCUUAGAUAGUAGGUUUUUGGAGGUUGCAAAUAUAUAUUAUGUUGUGGUGAAAGAAACAAAGGAGAUAGCCUUUUGUGUCAUGUUCUGGCCGAAUUUGUCAACUCCAGUUUAACCAAGUAAACGAUCUCUUUUUCUUGCGAAAUUUUAACUGAACAUACUUAUAGGUGUCUUCUGCUAUGUGGCCAAAUUUCAGCUUCAUCCGAAUUGAAAUGAAUUUAUAAUGAAUUUUGAAAGGGGACUGCGCAGUUCAGCUAGGUUUGGAUAUUUUUUUUUUGCUGUUUUCAGCUGCUGGUUUUGAAGUUUUCGACACCCUUAGGGUGUUGCAAAUUGUAUUUUCAAAUUUUCUGUAUGAACCUUGAUGUGUUGGAGAGCUCUCUGUAAAAUUUCAACUGAUUUGAAUGUCAUUUACUAUUUUUAGAAAAUCUCCAAACACAGCUGCUAGAACCUGUCGGGUAGUGAUAGACAGUGGGAAAAUGGCCAUAUCUCCCAACCUACUUGGAAAUUUUGAGAGAACUUUGUUUUAAAAUUUAACUAGACACCAAGGGGAUUCUUUUGGUAUAGGGCUUGACCUCUUAUACUCCGUGCAAAAGAAGUAACUAAAGAGAACUUGUUUAUUGCUUAAGCUAUUUUUUGGUGUUGUGUUGAUAAGAAUUAUUUAUUGAAAGGUAAUCCUGGCCUGAGGGAUAGCACGGGCAAGGAGAAGGCGAAUGAGUAAAGUGAUCUAGUACGGCAUUUUGGAUUUUAAGAUUAGGUGAUCAGACUAGCUCUUUUGCUGUACAGCUGCUCAAGUCGGGUCACUAGCCAAGCUUUUGCGUUGGGUAAAUCUUUUGGAUUUGAUAAAUGUGGCAUGUAGUAGGAGUGUAAUGUACCUUGGACGUUAUAUUACUUCAUAAACUUUUGCUAAGCAUGUAUAUUUUGUGA